UUGAGGAGCAAAUGAAAAAUAUCUAGCAUACUGGCCUGGGGAAAAGAAAAAAAAAGUGAGAAUUUCCUGUACUAGUCUUCAUUCAUUUACUAUAGGUCUGAAAACCUACGGGAGUGAUUUUAUUAUUUAUAUGACCCUCUACUUAAUAGAAAACACAGCCCUAUAAACAUGAAAUU
This 176-nucleotide long non-coding RNA is filed under the name Callithrix jacchus (white-tufted-ear marmoset). RNAcentral's name for it is "lncRNA (ENSCJAG00000081413.1)". The record is from RNAcentral. Lineage: Eukaryota; Metazoa; Chordata; Mammalia; Primates; Cebidae.